AGUGAACGCUGGCGGUAGGCCUAACACAUGCAAGUCGAACGGCAGCACAGUAAGAGCUUGCUCUUACGGGUGGCGAGUGGCGGACGGGUGAGGCAUACAUCGGAAUCUACUUUUUCGUGGGGGAUAACGUAGGGAAACUUACGCUAAUACCGCAUACGACCUACGGGUGAAAGCAGGGGAUCUUCGGACCUUGCGCGAUUGAAUGAGCCGAUGUCGGGUUAGCUAGUUGGCGGGGGAAAGGCCCACCAAGGCGACGAUCCGUAGCUGGUCUGAGAGGAUGAUCAGCCACACUGGAACUGAGACGCGGUCCAGACUCCUACGGGAGGCAGCAGUGGGGAAUAUUGGACGAUGGACGCAAGCCUGAUCCAGCCAUACCGCGUGAGUGAAGAAGGCCUUCGGGUUGGAAAGCCCUGUUGUUGGGAAAGAAAAGCAGCAGGUUAAUACCCCGCUGUUCUGACGGUACCCAAAGAAUAAGCACCGGCUAACUUCGUG
This 492-nucleotide ribosomal RNA is filed under the name uncultured bacterium. RNAcentral describes it as "partial 16S ribosomal RNA". It matches the Rfam family "Bacterial small subunit ribosomal RNA", at positions 29 to 507 of the family's 1533-position model. The record is from RNAcentral.